Plectosphaerella plurivora is the source of this 112-nucleotide non-coding RNA. NCBI's taxonomy places the organism in Eukaryota, Fungi, Ascomycota, Sordariomycetes, Glomerellales, Plectosphaerellaceae. The record is from the annotation of a GenBank genome assembly.
GGCGAGAUGGCCGAGUGGUCUAAGGCGCUAGUUUCAGGAGUGGUGGUCCUUCGGGACCCCUAUCCAGACUUACUAGUCUUCACAGGCGUGGGUUCGAAUCCCACUCUCGUCA